Long non-coding RNA from Nerophis ophidion (straightnose pipefish), 3445 nucleotides. RefSeq lists it as uncharacterized. The record is from RefSeq and is a predicted model, not a curated record. NCBI's taxonomy places the organism in Eukaryota, Metazoa, Chordata, Actinopteri, Syngnathiformes, Syngnathidae. The transcript is spliced from 3 exons.
GGAUGUAAAGAUGUGAGCUCAGGCAGCUGAGGCUGUCAAUCAGCUUAAAGAAAUGAGAGCCAAAUAGGACGGAAAUCUUCUGGGCGUGACGUUGUCAGUUCUACGAGCUCCAACUGAUCACAGUCCAAUGGCCUUGUGGUCUGCCCAUAAAUACAUCACUCCAUAAUUAAAGAUCCAAGAAGAGCAGCCGUGUGUACCUUGACCCCGGGAGCUCAGACGAAAUGAAGCGUGGUCAACACCGGACCGUCUGACGGACUGAUUGGGUAGUCCCGCUCUGCUCUGCUGUGACGUCGCAGAUAAAGAGGCACGACUGUUUCCACUGCACGUCAGCCGCUUCCAGAUGGGAGUGACAAGUUUUCCGUUUCUCACAAGGAAUGAGGAGAGAAUCUUCCCAGAGCCAAAAGAAAGUCUCAUUUGUGGUCCUCUCCAAGGUUUCUCAUUGUCAUCCGCAUUGACGUCCCACUGGGUUGUGAGUUUUUCCUUGCCCUUUUGUGGGCUCUGAACCGAGGAUGUCGUUGUGGCUUGUGCAGACCUUUGAGGCACUUGUGAUUUAGGGCUAUAUAAAUAACAUUGAUUGAUUGAUUGAUUGAAUCUGAAAUGUAAUAGGUCUUUGAGUCGAUAGGAAUAUAUUUACACAGUUGGGUGGGAGACUGUAAAUUCUAGCGAGACAUUGCUUCAAAUACAAAUAGUAAACCUCCUGAAUAAAAAAAGAGAUAAGCACUUAAGACAACAGUCACACUACACCCACAGCCACAAGAAUAAAAAGCCUAAAACAGCCAGUUAAGUAUUUCUAUUUGUGUGCCCUUUCAGACCACUCUCUGCCGUUUUGAUGUUUCCCAGCAGACACACCAUUCAUUCAGGCGAAGCCAUUACGCAUUGUGCUGCAUCAGUCACAGCCGGGAAACUGAUGAGCGAAAAGGUGAGCGCCAAUGAAGAUAAAAUGUGUUUAUCAGCGGAGGGUAACAAGGAAGGAGUCUGUCAGCUCAUCACUAAAGCAGACAGGUAGAUGUUUCCAAGUGCAGAUAAUGCAACUGUGGAUGAACAUUCAAUGGGAUCACAAACUAAUUAAAAAAAAACAAGAAUAACGCAGAAAAAAUAGACACCAACACAACAAAAACACUUUUGUUCGAUAUACAGAUAAACGUCUCGGGAAAAAAAACUAUAUAAACCCAGUUCCCAUUAAAAUAAUAUAUGAAAUACCCUAUUUCCUUGAAUUGCUGCCGGGUAUAUAGUAUGCGCCUGCCUAAAAUUUCUGCCGGGUCAAGCUCGUUUCGCCAAAUAAUUAGCAUAUGCCUAGAAUUUCUGCCGGGUCAAACUCGUCACGUCACGAGUGACACUUCACCUGUCAUCAUUUUCAAAAUGGAGGAGGCUGAUUUCAAUAAUUUGAAAUCGCAUAAAGGGAAGAAGAUUAAGAGCUAUUCAGUAGAAUUUAAGGUCCAAACUAUUGAAUAUGCUAAAAACAACAGUAACAGCUAUGUUUUAUUAAUAUACCGUAGCUGCGUGUGUCAAAUAUGAGUCAUUAAAUGACUCUCGCCUCCUGGUGGUAGAGGGCGCUAGUGAUCCUUCUUGCGACUACUCGGCUGCAGAAGAAGUGACAACAAGCAGCAAGAGUGAGCAGCCAUCCUUUAUUUUUUCCUCUCGCUUGCACUUUUAACAUGGAGGAUUACAUAUCUAAAAUAAAACAGUUUUCUAAACUGGACUUUCAAUCGAAGCAGGACGUAAUAAAGGAAGAUCUCCAUCGAGACAGAGAGACUUUUAAAACUGAAGAAAGAUAAGGAAGACUUCUAUAAACAAGUUAUCGAUGCUUUUGAUCAGAGGGAGCUGCGCAUGGACUUCAUUUAUAAGUAAAGGUAAGACCAUAAUAAUGUUUUUUAUUAAAUGUGCUUUUCAUGAUGGUAUCCUUACAUCACACUCAAAUUUAUAAGCGCAGGCCUAAAUUUACCGCAUGCCUUUGGUAAAUGCCGGAGUGAGAAGAGGUUUUAAAUUAAUUAGCACCCCGGCGGCAAUUCAAGGAAAUACGGUAUUUUCAAUUUGUUGUCAAAAUCCUGUGCUUUUCACAUUAAAUUAUUGAUAACAUUUCAAAAUCAAAAUCAAUGUUAUUUAAAAAAAAAAAAAUCUCGAAACAUCGCAACUUUUUCCACAACUUUCUGAAAAAGCUCCAGCAAAUUCAGGUAACAAAUACGGACAAAAAUCCCUCAAAAUCCUGAAAGGACUAUCGUAAUUAUUUUCCCACAAAAUUCUUGUGACAUUUAAAAAUGACAGUUUGCCCUGCGUCUAGCGACACUUUCAACACUAGCACAUGCAAACUCCUUUUUUUGACUCACCUGUACACUAUCCAGCACCAUCCCGGCCAUCACCAUUCCCAUUCCAGCCAGCAGGUAAGGGAAAAGAACCUGCAGACAUAUCGCCCGAGAUGACUCCUCCUCUACUUUGGCUAACGAUACUUUCGGCCUCGCCUCCGCUGGCUUUUUAGACAGCGGCUGAACGAUGGGGGGUACGGCCAACUCAUCCUGUCCAUCCCGGUUACCUGCCCGACCAGCACUGGGACUCUUCCCUUUGGGCCGGGACUUCUUGGUCUUUUUCCUCUGCCGGGUUUGUUGUGGUGGUUUGUCAUCGCCAGGCAUGACGGCUGUGCUAAGACUCCUGGCACCGGAUUUUUCUAGAAAAACACAAGUGAUAUGAUGAGGGAUCAAAGACAAUAAUUGUGUGUUUGUUUGUUUCCAAGUGUAUUAGUUAGCAAACCUAUAAAGCAGGGGUGUCCAAACUUUUUCCACUGAGGGCCUCAAACUUACUAAUUGGUACUUUUUAUCUUUAAAACCUGUACAAAAUAUAGAUGUUUCUUCAAAAAAACUGAAAAUGCAGUUACUGUCGAAAUUUUGUGUGAGGAGCAAAAGCUGACAGUUAGCACACUGGCCGGAUACCAUCAAGUAACAAAAAAUAUGGGCAAAAUGAGCUUAAAAAAGGUAGCAUGUUACAGUUAGCAUUAGUGAAAUACCAAAAUAUACGACACUCAGGUGUAAACCUGCUAAAACGACCAAAAACAUCUAGCACGCUAAUGUUAGCGUGCUAAAUGCUAAUGUAACAUGCAUCAAGUACAAUAUUUUACUCUCAGGUGUUUACCUGAAAAAAUGUGUAAGUUUAGUUAAGUCUUUAUUUGUAGGGACAAUGCACAGAAACAUUAAGAUCAAAGACAGAUAUGUUCUUUACCAGAUUAAAUCUAAAUAGCUAAUUUUUCUAUCUGCAUUCCCUGGCUACCUAAAUUAAAGGGAUACAAAAAUCAUGCAAUAAAAUGAUGACAAUAAAAUCAUGCAAUAGCAUGUAAUCAAAUUAAGAAAAGUCAUAAAAUGCCCUUUUAUGGACACAUACUUAAAAUACAAUACAACCACACCUCAUUUACGUCUUUUAGCAAAGACAAUACAAGCUCUUCUUCACAUCUGUCAUCAUU